AGAUUGAACGCUGGCGGCAUGCCUAACACAUGCAAGUCGAACGGGAGUAGCAAUACUCUAGUGGCGGACGGGUGAGGAAUACGUAGGAAUUUGCCCUUAAGUGGGGGAUAACCCGGGGAAACCCGGAUUAAUACCGCAUGACCUCGAAAGAGCAAAGUGGGGGAUCGCAAGACCUCACGCUUUUGGAGAAGCCUACGUCGGAUUAGCUAGUUGGUGAGGUAAUGGCUCACCAAGGCGACGAUCCGUAACUGGUCUGAGAGGAUGAUCAGUCACACCGGAACUGAGACACGGUCCGGACUCCUACGGGAGGCAGCAGUGGGGAAUAUUGGACAACGGGCG
This 339-nucleotide ribosomal RNA is filed under the name uncultured soil bacterium. Its description in RNAcentral is "bacterial SSU rRNA". It matches the Rfam family "Bacterial small subunit ribosomal RNA", at positions 26 to 377 of the family's 1533-position model. The record is from RNAcentral.